Molecule: non-coding RNA, 106 nt
Filed under: Bacillus atrophaeus
Lineage: Bacteria; Bacillati; Bacillota; Bacilli; Caryophanales; Bacillaceae
Description: TPP sequence
Rfam family: TPP riboswitch aptamer (THI element)
About the family: Vitamin B(1) in its active form thiamin pyrophosphate (TPP) is an essential coenzyme that is synthesised by coupling of pyrimidine and thiazole moieties in bacteria.
Source: RNAcentral
UAUUCAUCCUAGGGGUGCUUAUCUUUGAGCUGAGAGAGACGUGUGUCUUAACCCUGAUUGACCUGAUCUGGAUCAUGCCAGCGGAGGGAAGCGGUGAAAAAAAGCG